This 230-nucleotide unclassified non-coding RNA is filed under the name Hevea brasiliensis (rubber tree). The record is from RNAcentral. Lineage: Eukaryota; Viridiplantae; Streptophyta; Magnoliopsida; Malpighiales; Euphorbiaceae.
CGUCAACAAAUUUCUGAUAUUCGGGUAAGAGAUGCUAUCUUAAUUUAUGAAAUUUGUUUGUUAACAAUUAAUUUUAGGUUGUGCAUUGCUUAAAAUUUUUGGAAUAAACUAAAACCAAAAUAACCAAAUUUAUUAGAUUCUAGAACUGAACCAAACCAAAUUUAAGGAAUAAAUUGUAUUAAACUGAAUCCAUCAAAACUAAUUUGGUCGAAUUCAAAUGUUCAUUUUUG